Non-coding RNA from Pocillopora verrucosa, 584 nucleotides. NCBI's taxonomy places the organism in Eukaryota, Metazoa, Cnidaria, Anthozoa, Scleractinia, Pocilloporidae. The record is from RefSeq and is a predicted model, not a curated record.
CCAGGUAAACAAACCGAUCGAUUCCUGAUCACCGUUCUUGUCGAUUGGAAAAUCAAAAUACCAGCGUGAUAUUGCCGCGAAGAUGAAGCAGUUAUGUUACUUGAUUCGUACUUCAUAUUCGAGUCGAAGCUUGGGUGGCACAGGUUAUUUCUUGCGGUGGAAUCGGCGAGGGGAAUUCGAACACUAGUUGUAGUGUUUGAAUUUUUGAAAGAAAUGGUCGCAUGAGGAUUAUUUACCUGCUUGAUUUAUAUCGGUUACGCUUCAUGUUGACAAGUCCCUCAAAAUGGCGGCCAAACUUGGAGAUUGCCGAAAAUUAGGAAUUGUUUUUCAUUGACCUAAGACUUAAAAUCAGAAGGAGGAAGUCCGCUCCAUUUUUCAACGCGCACCACCACCGUGUACUCAGCCAAAGCCCACCUUAGUUAUUACAGACCAAGGUUGAAUGACAGUGAAUUCAGGGAUUUGUGCACAGCGAGAGACUCACCAGCAAGGAAAGAAGAUUCAACUGAAAUAACAAGAAGCAGCAGAUUUCCUCUGAAGUUUUGUAGGCACAGAUGACUGGAGAACGUACCCAUUGUAAUAUGAGC